RNAcentral lists this ribosomal RNA (254 nucleotides) under uncultured microorganism. RNAcentral describes it as "partial 16S ribosomal RNA". It matches the Rfam family "Archaeal small subunit ribosomal RNA", at positions 474 to 727 of the family's 1478-position model. The record is from RNAcentral.
CACCGGCGGCUCGAGUGGUGGCCACUUUUAUUGGGUCUGAAGCGUCCGUAGCCGGCUUGGCAAGUCCCCUGGGAAAUCUGGCGGCUUAACCGUCAGGCGUCCAGAGGAUACUGCCAGGCUUGGGACCGGGAGAGGUGAGAGGUACCUCAGGGGUAGGGGUGAAAUCUUGUGAUCCCUGAGGGACCACCAGUGGCGAAGGCGUCUCACUAGAACGGGUCCGACGGUCAGGGACGAAAGCUGGGGGCACGAACCGG